This 529-nucleotide ribosomal RNA is filed under the name uncultured bacterium. RNAcentral's name for it is "partial 16S ribosomal RNA". It matches the Rfam family "Bacterial small subunit ribosomal RNA", at positions 28 to 523 of the family's 1533-position model. The record is from RNAcentral.
GACGAACGCUGGCGGCGUGCCUAAUACAUGCAAGUCGAGCGAGCAAUUUUAGCAGAAUACCUUCGGGUAGGAAGCUAAGAGCGCGAGCGGCGGAUGGGUGAGUAACACGUGGGCAACCUACCCUUUAGCUGGGGAUACCACUUGGAAACAGGUGCUAAUACCGAAUAAGAAGCAAGAGCGCAUGCUCAAGCUAUGAAAGGCGGCUUUAAGCUGUCACUAAAGGAUGGGCCCGCGGUGCAUUAGCUAGUUGGUAAGGUAACGGCUUACCAAGGCGAUGAUGCAUAGCCGAGUGGAGAGACUGAACGGCCACAUAGGGACUGAGACACGGCCCAAACUCCUACGGGAGGCAGCAGUAGGGAAUCUUCCACAAUGGACGCAAGUCUGAUGGAGCAACGCCGCGUGAGUGAAGAAGGUUUUCGGAUCGUAAAGCUCUGUUGUUGGUGAAGAAGGAUAAGGAUAGUAACUGAUUCAUAUUUGACGGUAAUCAACCAGAAAGUCACGGCUAACUACGUGCCAGCAGCCGCCGUAA